This 373-nucleotide ribosomal RNA is filed under the name uncultured organism. RNAcentral's name for it is "partial 16S ribosomal RNA". It matches the Rfam family "Bacterial small subunit ribosomal RNA", at positions 527 to 896 of the family's 1533-position model. The record is from RNAcentral.
GGGGGGGGCAAGCGUUGUUCGGAAUUACUGGGCGUAAAGGGCGCGCAGGCGGGCGAGACAGUCUCUCGUGAAAUCCCACGGCUCAACCGUGGAAUUGCGGGAGAUACUACUCGUCUUGAGUCCGGGAGAGGAGAGCGGAAUUCCCAGUGUAGCGGUGAAAUGCGUAGAUAUUGGGAGGAACACCAGUGGCGAAGGCGGCUCUCUGGACCGGUACUGACGCUGAGGCGCGAAAGCUAGGGGAGCAAACGGGGGAUUAGAUACCCCGGUAGUCCUAGCCGUAAACGAUGAGCACUUGGUGUAGCGGGUAUCGACCCCCUGCUGUGCCGAAGCUAACGCAUUAAGUGCUCCGCCUGGGGAUACGGUCGCAAGGCUG